UUGGAGAGUUUGAUCCUGGCUCAGGAUGAACGCUGGCGGCAUGCUUAAUACAUGCAAGUUGAACGAGAAUAGUAAAAGCUUGCUUUUACUAGGACAGUAGCGAACGGGUGAGUAAUACGUAAGAAUCUGCCCUUUGGAGGAGGAAAACGGUUGGAAACGACCGCUAAUCCUGCAUAUGCCAUUG
This 184-nucleotide ribosomal RNA is filed under the name Pycnococcus provasolii. Its description in RNAcentral is "partial Bacterial small subunit ribosomal RNA". It matches the Rfam family "Bacterial small subunit ribosomal RNA", at positions 1 to 183 of the family's 1533-position model. Lineage: Eukaryota; Viridiplantae; Chlorophyta; Pseudoscourfieldiophyceae; Pseudoscourfieldiales; Pycnococcaceae. The record is from RNAcentral.